AGCAGCCGCGGUAAUUCCAGCUCCAAUAGCGUAUAUUAAAGUUGUUGCAGUUAAAAAGCUCGUAGUUGAAUUUCGGGAUCAAUACGUCGGUCGUGCUUCGGUACGUACUGGCGUCAUUGAUUUCUCCCUUCUGACGAACCAUGAUGUCAUUAACUUGGUGUCUUGGGAAAUCAGGACUGUUACUUUGAAAAAAUUAGAGUGUUUAAAGCAGGCUCACGCUUGAAUACAUUAGCAUGGAAUAAUGAAAUAGGACGUUCGAUCCUAUUUUGUUGGUUUUAGGAUCAACGUAAUGAUUAAUAGGGAUAGUUGGGGGCAUUAGUAUUCAAUUGUCAGAGGUGAAAUUCUUGGAUUUAUUGAAGACUAACUACUGCGAAAGCAUUUGCCAAGGAUGUUUUCAUUAAUCAAGAACGAAAGUUAGGGGAUCGAAGACGAUCAGAUACCGUCGUAGUCUUAACCAUAAACUAUGCCGACUAGGGAUCGGAUGAUGUUAAUUUUUUAAUGACUC
Molecule: ribosomal RNA, 505 nt
Filed under: uncultured Glomus
Lineage: Eukaryota; Fungi; Glomeromycota; Glomeromycetes; Glomerales; Glomeraceae
Description: SSU rRNA
Rfam family: Eukaryotic small subunit ribosomal RNA
Source: RNAcentral